Long non-coding RNA from Gavia stellata (red-throated loon), 1079 nucleotides. RefSeq lists it as uncharacterized. The record is from RefSeq and is a predicted model, not a curated record. Lineage: Eukaryota; Metazoa; Chordata; Aves; Gaviiformes; Gaviidae. The transcript is spliced from 3 exons.
CGGGCGGAGGACUACGGCUCCCAGCAGGGCCGGCGGAGAUGAACAUCGAACGAGCACAUGGAGUUCCAGAUGCUGAUCCCCCGGAGAAUCCACCUGUGACAGAAGGGAUGGAUGAUCUUUCAGCUCGGUUCCAGCUUGGUGGGACCUACGUGUGGUUGUUUCAGGCUGAUGUACAAAAAGGCCAUCGUUUCAAAAAUGUCAGAGGAACCACAACUGAGCUUUUCUCCUGUUCCCACCUGUGCUUUGGGAUGCGAAAGAAUAACAUCAGCACACAGAGACCUUGACUUCCUCUUGGAUGCAUCUGGACGAUUUUAUUAGGCAGUCCACCGCGCCUGUGAUCAGUCUGAGAGCAGCUGAUGAUGAGCAUCGCCAAGAUAUGGUACUGGGCUGCUGAUUGAUUUUGUGUCUUUCAGAAGACUUGAAAAAUUAGAUUAAUGAAACAUCACGCUCGUAAACCACAGCCUCACCAUGAGGACGUUAGGGCAGCCACAACUGUACAAAGUAUCUUUACCAGCAGCCUUUCACCCUCUGAAAAAUCUUUUCUUCUUGAAGGUAACUGUGGGUGGUCUUUGUCUAAUUUCUGUAAAUUCGGUACAUCACUUUCUAGUUAUGCAGCUGAUACUCGUGUUUAUAUGAAUGGCUAUUUAAAAAAGGAAAGAUCAGAUGUUUGUUGUUUCAUUUCAACAUAAAUCAAACUUUGUACUCACAUAGCAAUUCUAGUUUAGCCCCAGGAAUAGCUUUAGUAUUGCUAAGUGUCUGGAGAGUAUUGACUACAGAGACAUGAUUUUAAGCAGGCUAUAAUAGUUUCUACAGCUGUUAACAGUUCUCAGAAGAAAGGCAGUAUUAUUCAUCGGUGUUUAAAAUGUGCAUGACUUGCAUUGCACAGAAGUCAGAUUGGGAGAAUGUCAGAAUUUUUUUUUUUCUGAAAUUCUGCCAGGAAAGUCUUCAAUAACUGGAGAAAUUCUUUUCACUGGUGAAAUCAACAUGCAGCACAUUGUGUUAUUAUAAUUGCUUAUAGCUCACCAUGAAAGUUGUCUUUGUAUGUGUGGAUGUACGGCUUGUACUGUUUUGUUUUUAUU